RNAcentral lists this long non-coding RNA (1542 nucleotides) under Pelobates cultripes (western spadefoot toad). The record is from RNAcentral. Lineage: Eukaryota; Metazoa; Chordata; Amphibia; Anura; Pelobatidae.
GCUUGACAAGACUCUCAAACGAGUGUAUUCCAGAGCUGGCUUUUAUACAUAGUUUGCUUACAUUAGCCAUGAGAUAUGCAAAUACAGUACAGACUAUAAGAUUUAUUACUUCCUUAUAUUACAUGUUAUUCUGACAAUGGAAAGAUAAGCUUUUGCAUACGUCUGGGGAAGAAUAUCCUGAAAUCGGAAUGGGCAAGACAUCCUGAGAUUUAGCAUUGUCUUACAUCCUAUAGAAGAAAUACCUUAGUCUGUCACAGUCAGCAUAUUAUGUCGUAAAUUGAGUUUAACUAUUUCAUAUCCUUUCAGUCAGCAAUAAUAUUUAUAAACCUUAUAAAAGCAUAAAAUACAUAUGAACAAGUUAACUAUUCCAUAUUCUUACAUUCCCCUCUUUGAGCAAUAAAAAAAUUGCUCAUCUUAUCGAUAAAAUCUUACCAGGACAGAGAAACUUCCACAUGGUAUUUUCAGGGGUGCUAGUCACUCCCUGCGGGACUUUCAUUAAUUUCUUCACCUCGAUUCCCAUGUGGUAAUUCCUAAGGCCCAGUUUAAAGAUGGGUUGAUACCCUCCAGUGGCAGAGAGGAGAAUUUCUAAUUGUUUCUGUUCUGCAUUAUGGAUUAAUUUCUGUACUCACUUCCUCAAUGUACAACUAAGGUGACAGUUAUAUAAAAUCAUACACAAUAAAAUCAGGACUAUAAUAACAAAAGGAUAGAAGAAUGAUUUCAUUAUCUGGGAUCCAGUAGGGGACCAACCAGUAAAGCAUUGUACCAAUGAUGGGCUAAAUCAUUCUGAAUUUGUGAACUCACCUUAAGGAGUUCUCCUUUUAGGAUAUGUGUGGCUACCUGUGUGUGUUAUCUUUGGGAAAAUAUAGUCCCCUGUGUAUGUGGGUGCCCACCAGGUUAAAUUCUUGGCAAAAAGAUCAUAAACUGGUACUGGUAAUGUGUUAAAUUGACAAGCUAAUUUAACAUCCUUUGAUGAUGUAUGAUAUAAUGUAAAAUAGCAUGAGCAUGAAAAAUGUGAAACAUUACCAGUUAACCAUCCAUUGCAUUUAGUGGAUUGGGGUUUUAGAAGUAACCAUUCAUUAUCUGUGAGGUUAAGCUUUCCUCUAAUCUUCUCUAGUUUAGGAAUCAUUAGUGUGUCUUCUAAUGCCAGUCUUUGUUGUUGCAUCCAUAAAUACCUGAUGGCACAAGUACUCCAGUUACUUAGACCUGUAGUGAAUUUCAUAGUUGCAACAGUUAAAUUAUCUAAAUAAUUAUACAUUGAUUUAUCUAAAUCCAAUCCUGUAACCUGUGAUUUAACAACAAUUGGAGCACAGUUUGCAGUAGCAUGGAAACCAGUCCCUAUAUGCAUGCUGGCCGUAUUUAACUUAUUCUUGAUGGUCUCCAUAUCUAUAACUAUUUAGUAUACCCAUAGUGGUUCCAGCACCUCCUAACAGUGUGUCAUACCAUUCCCUUUUCUGCCUUUGUUUGUUGUAUUACAUAAUGUUACAACAGGAGUAGUGAUUUUUAAUGACACAUGUACAGCUUGUAAGAAGGCAGUUGUAUUAA